CUCCUGAUGGCACAGUUGGUAGCGCGUUGGACUGUAAUUGUAAUUAUCGAUAUCCACAGGUCGUGUGUUCGAAUCACACUCAGGAGA
RNAcentral lists this transfer RNA (87 nucleotides) under Nemania abortiva. Its description in RNAcentral is "tRNA-Tyr". It matches the Rfam family "tRNA". Rfam says of the family: Transfer RNA (tRNA) molecules are approximately 80 nucleotides in length. Their secondary structure includes four short double-helical elements and three loops (D, anti-codon, and T loops). Further hydrogen bonds mediate the characteristic L-shaped molecular structure. tRNAs have two regions of fundamental functional importance: the anti-codon, which is responsible for specific mRNA codon recognition, and the 3' end, to which the tRNAs corresponding amino acid is attached (by aminoacyl-tRNA synthetases). tRNAs cope with the degeneracy of the genetic code in two manners: having more than one tRNA (with a specific anti-codon) for a particular amino acid; and 'wobble' base-pairing, i.e. permitting non-standard base-pairing at the 3rd anti-codon position. The record is from RNAcentral. Lineage: Eukaryota; Fungi; Ascomycota; Sordariomycetes; Xylariales; Xylariaceae.